GUUUUUGACGGGGCUCCCACACAAACACAAAGCAGGAGAUGAAGCAUCGCCAAAUAUGUUUCCAAACCAACUUCCUUCCAAGCCAAAGACUAGAAAAUAUGGUGAAGCAUAUCUUCCCUUUGGCUUCACCUGCACAAGUGCCAAGCUGAGGAAACGCAAACCAAACAACAAUGGCAGUCCAGGGACCGCGAGCAGAGGAGAGGAAUUUCGAGGGCUAAUCUCCACCUGGGACGAAGGUUACUGGAGAAAACGGGGUGUUUAUUCUCUACUCGGGCACGGACGAAAAGAAGAGGAGAAAACCACCCACUCACCUUUCAUUGUACCUGGAUCAGCUGUUCACUGUUUUCACCACUUUGUAAAUAAAC
This is a long non-coding RNA of Oreochromis aureus, 365 nucleotides long. Lineage: Eukaryota; Metazoa; Chordata; Actinopteri; Cichliformes; Cichlidae. The record is from Ensembl.